GACGAACGCUGGCGGCGUGCUUAACACAUGCAAGUCGAACGGAACUCUUUGGAUCGAGACUUCGGUCAAGUGAAUCUGAGUUUAGUGGCGGACGGGUGAGUAACGCGUGAGGAACCUGCCUUUCAGAGGGGGACAACAGUUGGAAACGACUGCUAAUACCGCAUAACAUGUACGGAUCGCACGGUCUGUACAUCAAAGCUUUAUGUGCUGAAAGAUGGCCUCGCGUCUGAUUAGAUAGUUGGUGAGGUAACGGCUCACCAAGUCGACGAUCAGUAGCCGGUCUGAGAGGAUGAACGGCCACAUUGGGACUGAGAUACGGCCCAGACUCCUACGGGAGGCAGCAGUGGGGAAUAUUGGGCAAUGGGGGAAACCCUGACCCAGCAACGCCGCGUGAAGGAAGAA
This 402-nucleotide ribosomal RNA is filed under the name uncultured bacterium. Its description in RNAcentral is "bacterial SSU rRNA". It matches the Rfam family "Bacterial small subunit ribosomal RNA", at positions 28 to 412 of the family's 1533-position model. The record is from RNAcentral.